Molecule: long non-coding RNA, 971 nt
Organism: Salvia hispanica
Lineage: Eukaryota; Viridiplantae; Streptophyta; Magnoliopsida; Lamiales; Lamiaceae
Source: RefSeq, a predicted model, not a curated record
UAUUUUUCUCAUCCCCAGUCAUUCAUUUUUUUAUUUUUUUUUAAGUAUCUCUCUGUUUUUGUAGCAUUGGUUGAAAGUAGCGAUGAAGAGAAAUACCUAUAUUGCGAUUGCAGCAGAUCUUGCUGCUCUUUGAAUUAGAUCGAAGGACCUAUAGACGAGAGGCGAUUAUUAAAAUGCCGAUUCAGUCAAGUUUACCUUCGGAGAUAGAUAUUAAUGUUCUGAAUUUUGAUCGCCGAACCGGAUCUGUUUAUUCGGGUUAGGUUCUCCAUAUCUUCAGAUAUUACACACAUUUGUUAAUUAAUACUGUAUAGAAAUUUGAUAGGCGAAGGUUCCCAGCGGGGAGGAAGCGGUCUCGAACGACACCUCUCUAACACUAAAUUUAAACCUUCGCACACCGAUUGCGGCCAUCUUAAACGGCGCUUCUGGAAAUUUUAAUUUUGGAUGCGUUUUGAACCCUUUUGGCUAUAUUUUUAUUCUAUCCCCAAUUUUCAUUUUCAGAUGAGCUGUGCAAUGAUGCUUCCUCUAAUUUUAGUUCAUUUUAAAUGUCAUUGAUUGAUUUCCUGCCAAGUGGAUUCGAAUUUUGAAUUUAAAAAAUCUUUAAAUAUUUGCUCCUCUUUUCUUUUCAAUUCAUUCUUCGUUCAAUUUCUACAUCUUUUUAUGGAGAAUAAGUCGAUUAUGGAGAACUCUACAGCUAGUGCUUCGCGGCUUCCAUCCAACUCAUGUCUUGAUAGAAUUUCCGAGGCUGUUGACAGCAUCAAUCAUAAUAUAAUUGCCCGAGAUUACUUCAAACUGCUGGCUAAAGAUAAGUCGGUGAUGAGCGAGGCCGCCCUUGAACUCCACAACUUCAUGUUGACCGUACUUAAGAUGAAGCUCGCUGAGAAGCUUAGGUUGAACGAUGAAUAAGUACUUUUUUCAAAUGCUUUUUUCUUUUGAUCUUCGUGUUUUUAAUGAAUCAAUAAUGCGUUAUGUUA